This 240-nucleotide long non-coding RNA is filed under the name Gossypium barbadense (sea-island cotton). RNAcentral's name for it is "long non-coding RNA (GBAR_LNC003932)". Lineage: Eukaryota; Viridiplantae; Streptophyta; Magnoliopsida; Malvales; Malvaceae. The record is from RNAcentral.
UCUCGUCAAUUUUCAUUGGUCUUCCCUCGCAGAUCCAGCUUGUGUAGUGCUUCCAUAUCUUGUAGUCGAGCGAAAUUUUUCUUCCUCCACCCGACCUACCGCAUCACUCGAUCAGAUUCGUGUAUCUCCACCAUUGCGUACACUAUCAAUAACACAUUCGUGUGCCACAUACUUUGAAUGACUAAAAAUUUUGACUGGACACAUUUUAUGAUAUCUGGAUCGACAUAUGGCAUCUGUAAC